ACGCUCGACACCUACAGGAGGCAGCAGUUGGGAAUAUUGGACAAUGGAGGAAACUCUGAUCCAGUGACGCCGCGUGAAGGAAGAAGGUCUUCGGAUUGUAAACUUAUUUUGUCAGGGAAGAAAAAUGACUGUACCUGAAGAAAAAGCACCGGCUAACUACGCGCCAGCAGCCGCGGUAAUCUGAGCGGGCUGGCAAGGC
This 199-nucleotide ribosomal RNA is filed under the name uncultured bacterium. Its description in RNAcentral is "partial 16S ribosomal RNA". It matches the Rfam family "Bacterial small subunit ribosomal RNA", at positions 328 to 539 of the family's 1533-position model. The record is from RNAcentral.